This 2771-nucleotide ribosomal RNA is filed under the name human gut metagenome. RNAcentral describes it as "bacterial LSU rRNA". It matches the Rfam family "Bacterial large subunit ribosomal RNA". The record is from RNAcentral.
AGCGUACACGGUGGAUGCCCUGGCAGUCAGAGGCGAUGAAGGACGUGCUAAUCUGCGAAAAGCGUCGGUAAGGUGAUAUGAACCGUUAUAACCGGCGAUGUCCGAAUGGGGAAACCCAGUGCAAUUCGUUGCACUAUCGUUAACUGAAUACAUAGGUUAACGAGGCGAACCGGGGGAACUGAAACAUCUAAGUACCCCGAGGAAAAGAAAUCAACCGAGAUUCCCCCAGUAGCGGCGAGCGAACGGGGAGCAGCCCAGAGUCUGAAUCAGCUUGUGUGUUAGUGGAACGGUCUGGAAAGUCCGACGGUACAGGGUGAUAGUCCCGUACACCAAAAUGCACAGGUUGUGAACUCGAAGAGUAGGGCGGGACACGUGGUAUCCUGUCUGAAUAUGGGGGGACCAUCCUCCAAGGCUAAAUACUCCUGACUGACCGAUAGUGAACCAGUACCGUGAGGGAAAGGCGAAAAGAACCCCGGCGAGGGGAGUGAAAAAGAACCUGAAACCGUGUACGUACAAGCAGUGGGAGCACCUUCGGGUGUGACUGCGUACCUUUUGUAUAAUGGGUCAGCGACUUAUAUUCUGUAGCAAGGUUAACCGUAUAGGGGAGCCGCAGGGAAACCGAGUCUUAACUGGGCGUUAAGUUGCAGGGUAUAGACCCGAAACCCGGUGAUCUAGCCAUGGGCAGGUUGAAGGUUGGGUAACACUAACUGGAGGACCGAACCGACUAAUGUUGAAAAAUUAGCGGAUGACUUGUGGCUGGGGGUGAAAGGCCAAUCAAACCGGGAGAUAGCUGGUUCUCCCCGAAAGCUAUUUAGGUAGCGCCUCGUGAAUUCAUCUUCGGGGGUAGAGCACUGUUUCGGCUAGGGGGUCAUCCCGACUUACCAACCCGAUGCAAACUACGAAUACCGAAGAAUGUUAUCACGGGAGACACACGGCGGGUGCUAACGUCCGUCGUGAAGAGGGAAACAACCCAGACCGCCAGCUAAGGUCCCAAAGUCAUGGUUAAGUGGGAAACGAUGUGGGAAGGCACAGACAGCCAGGAUGUUGGCUUAGAAGCAGCCAUCAUUUAAAGAAAGCGUAAUAGCUCACUGGUCGAGUCGGCCUGCGCGGAAGAUGUAACGGGGCUAAACCAUGCACCGAAGCUGCGGCAGCGACACUAUGUGUUGUUGGGUAGGGGAGCGUUCUGUAAGCCUGCGAAGGUGUGCUGUGAGGCAUGCUGGAGGUAUCAGAAGUGCGAAUGCUGACAUAAGUAACGAUAAAGCGGGUGAAAAGCCCGCUCGCCGGAAGACCAAGGGUUCCUGUCCAACGUUAAUCGGGGCAGGGUGAGUCGACCCCUAAGGCGAGGCCGAAAGGCGUAGUCGAUGGGAAACAGGUUAAUAUUCCUGUACUUGGUGUUACUGCGAAGGGGGGACGGAGAAGGCUAUGUUAGCCGGGCGACGGUUGUCCCGGUUUAAGCAUGUAGGCUGGUUAUCCAGGCAAAUCCGGAUAAUCAAGGCUGAGGUGUGAUGACGAGGCACUACGGUGCUGAAGUAACAAAUGCCCUGCUUCCAGGAAAAGCCUCUAAGCAUCAGGUAACAUCAAAUCGUACCCCAAACCGACACAGGUGGUCAGGUAGAGAAUACCAAGGCGCUUGAGAGAACUCGGGUGAAGGAACUAGGCAAAAUGGUGCCGUAACUUCGGGAGAAGGCACGCUGGUGUGUAGGUGAAGUCCCUGCGGAUGGAGCUGAGACCAGUCGAAGAUACCAGCUGGCUGCAACUGUUUAUUAAAAACACAGCACUGUGCAAACACGAAAGUGGACGUAUACGGUGUGACGCCUGCCCGGUGCCGGAAGGUUAAUUGAUGGGGUUAUCCGUAAGGAGAAGCUCUUGAUCGAAGCCCCGGUAAACGGCGGCCGUAACUAUAACGGUCCUAAGGUAGCGAAAUUCCUUGUCGGGUAAGUUCCGACCCGCACGAAAGGUGUAACGACUUGCGCACUGUCUCAACGAGGGACCCGGUGAAAUUGAAGUACCUGUGAAGAUGCAGGUUACCCGCGACUGGACAGAAAGACCCCAUGGAGCUUUACUGCAACCUAAGAUUGAACUUAGUUAAUGAAUGUACAGGAUAGGUGGGAGACGUAGAACCUAGGACGCCAGUUUUAGGGGAGUCGCUGUUGGGAUACCACCCUUUCAUUAAUUGAUUUCUAACGGGCCGAGUAACGACCGGCCGGACAGUCUUAGGCGGGCAGUUUGACUGGGGCGGUCGCCUCCAAAAGAGUAACGGAGGCGCCCAAAGGUUCCCUCAGAGCGGACGGAAAUCGCUCGAAGAGUGUAAAGGCAGAAGGGAGCUUGACUGCGAGACGGACAGGUCGAGCAGGGACGAAAGUCGGGCUUAGUGAUCCGGUGGUGCCGAGUGGAAGGGCCAUCGCUCAACGGAUAAAAGCUACCCUGGGGAUAACAGGCUAAUCUCUCCCAAGAGUCCAUAUCGACGGGGAGGUUUGGCACCUCGAUGUCGGCUCAUCACAUCCUGGGGCUGAAGUAGGUCCCAAGGGUUCGGCUGUUCGCCGAUUAAAGUGGUACGUGAGCUGGGUUCAGAACGUCGUGAGACAGUUCGGUCCCUAUCCAUCGCGGGCGCAAGAAACUUGAAGGGGGCUGCUCCUAGUACGAGAGGACCGGAGUGGACGAACCGCUGGUGUACCAAUUAUCCUGCCAAGGGUACAGUUGGGUAGCUACGUUCGGGACGGAUAAACGCUGAAAGCAUCUAAGCGUGAAACCAGCCUUGAGAUGAGGUUUCU